GACGAACGCUGGCGGCGUGCUUAACACAUGCAAGUCGAACGGAAAGUCCCUGCUUUUUUGGGGUGCUCGAGUUGCGAACGGGUGAGUAACACGUGAGUAACCUGCCCUUGACUUUGGGAUAACUUCAGGAAACUGGGGCUAAUACCGGAUAGGAGCUCCUGCUUCAUGGUGGGGGUUGGAAAGUUUCGGCGGUUGGGGAUGGACUCGCGGCUGAUCAGCUUGUUGGUAGGGUAGUGGCUUACCAAGGCUUUGACGGAGAGCUGGCCUGAGAGGAGGACCGGGCACAGGGGGACGGAGACACGGCCAAGACUCGGACGGGAGGCAGCAGGGGGGAAUAGGGGACAAUGGGCGAAAGACUGAUCCAGCAAUGCCGCGGGAGGGAGGAAGGCCGUAGGGGUGUAAAGCUAUGGUACCCGGGAGGAUAAGGACAGGACCGGGAGAAUAAGCUCCGGCUAACUCCGUG
RNAcentral lists this ribosomal RNA (463 nucleotides) under uncultured bacterium. Its description in RNAcentral is "partial 16S ribosomal RNA". It matches the Rfam family "Bacterial small subunit ribosomal RNA", at positions 28 to 507 of the family's 1533-position model. The record is from RNAcentral.